This 878-nucleotide long non-coding RNA is filed under the name Bos taurus (domestic cattle). RNAcentral's name for it is "long non-coding RNA NONBTAT023770". Lineage: Eukaryota; Metazoa; Chordata; Mammalia; Artiodactyla; Bovidae. The record is from RNAcentral.
ACAGGUCUUAUUCAAAGGCUUUAAUUUCAGUUUAUAUACUUGUUAAAUAUAUUUAAAUGUUUGAGUUUUGUACUUAGCAUUAAAAAUAAAUCAAAAUACAAAAGGCAGUUACUGCUCCAGAAAUAUACAAGAGAGCCACUAUCAUACUUCUUGCAAAAGCCUCAGGUAUUAUCAAAUUAAGGGUUAAAUUUGGGGCUUUAAAGUCAAGUAUGACUGUGUAUUUGUGAACAGAUACCUAUUUAUGUGUUUCAUUAAUGUAUCUAGAAUCAGCCUUUUCUAACUGCUUGGUCAAGUAUGAAUUAAAGCAACAUAAAAAAUAAUGAAAUGAAUACUUACAGUACUGUCACUCCUUUGGAUUAUAAUUCUCCUUCCAGGAUGAUUGGUAUAACUCACUGAAAGAAAAAACAUAAAACAUCCUGUAUUUUUUUGUUGAAACUAUUCCUCUUCUGCUUAAGUUUCUUUCUACAUUUGUACAGCAGCAGUCACAUCAUAAGACUCAUCCCAGUUGAAUCUCUGAGAAUUAAGAAGUAUCAAGGAAAAUUUCUCAUCAUGUAAGAAUACUAUGCAGAUAAAAACUAUUAAAUGUCCAAAGUGGUCAUAUGCUCUAGAAACUAACAAUACUGUGAAAGGUUCGAUGGAAUUUAAUGAUUCUAUCUGUGCUUUUCCAAAGGGAUCAAGGGUUAAGAAUCACUCUCCCACAAAGGUGGGUGGAGAAGAAUCAAAUAUGUUAUUGGUUUCAAGUAAGUUUCCAUUUAUUGGGCUAUUUCUUCAUAUGCUGAAUUAGCAACAACAAAAAGUGUUCUAUCACAUUAUUUAUACAAAAAGCAGUAUUUUUGUAGACAGGUUUUUUCUUUUUUUAUGUAUAUGAUAGUUGUGUC